AAGUCUGACGGAGCACGCCGCGUGAGUGAUGAAGGUUUUCGGAUCGUAAAACUCUGUUGUUAGGGAAGAACAAUUGCUUAACUAGGAGCUCAUGCCUUGACGGUCCCUUGCCAGAAAGCGCGGCUUAAUACCUGCCAGCAGCCGCGGUAAUAA
RNAcentral lists this ribosomal RNA (153 nucleotides) under uncultured bacterium. RNAcentral's name for it is "partial 16S ribosomal RNA". It matches the Rfam family "Bacterial small subunit ribosomal RNA", at positions 379 to 526 of the family's 1533-position model. The record is from RNAcentral.